AAUUUGUAAAUGAUUCUUCAUUAGGAGGGUUGAAUACAAGUUUCUUAUGGAAACAAUCUACGGUGACGUGAUACAUUGCUAGCCAAUUCAUCCCUAAAAUUACAUCAAAGUCCUCCAUGUCAAUCUCUAUUAGGUCCCCACUCAAUUUUUUAUCUACUAUAUCUAUUAUACAUACUCUGUAUAUACCCUCCCCCAGUAGUGUCCUACUCCCAAGAGUAGACACAAACAACACAGAAUCAAGUCUUUUAAGUAAUACAUUCAAGUUUGGUGCAAAAGCAUGUGAAACAAAUGAAUGUGAGGCACCAGUAUCAAUCAAAACAUGUGCAAGAUAUUUACAGAUAGUGUACAUAUCCUAUAUUACGUCUGGGUUGGCUUCUGCAUCUUACUGAGUGAGGUUAUAAGCUAUAUCCUAUAUAGGAGGUCUAAGUUGAUUCUAGUUCCUCGGGCACUCCCUCGCGUAGUAUUAGCACUCCCACAUAUGCGGCAAGUAUUGUUAAGGCAAUAGCAGGAUCAAUCCCCAUGAUCCUUGCCACAGUACUGGUAACUUCUACCACAUCCUGUUGUUAGAAUCUGAGGAGGAACCUGAGUCAUCAACCUAGGUCUCUUGUUUUGUUGAACAGAUGCAGUGGGUGCUGGUCUACGGUGUGAAACCGAGGACCUAAAAUUCCCUACUACUGGAGGAAAAUACGAAGGUUUCUCUUCACCAAUUGUGCCUUGACUAGAAUGUCGAGUAAGUACUGAGCUCAAACACAUACAGCUGCUACCUAAUCUCAAGACAGAGGCCCCACUUGAACUUUCUUCCCUU
RNAcentral lists this long non-coding RNA (805 nucleotides) under Carica papaya (papaya). RNAcentral describes it as "long non-coding RNA (CPAP_LNC012202)". The record is from RNAcentral. Lineage: Eukaryota; Viridiplantae; Streptophyta; Magnoliopsida; Brassicales; Caricaceae.